Molecule: unclassified non-coding RNA, 318 nt
Filed under: uncultured fungus
Lineage: Eukaryota; Fungi
Description: partial contains 5.8S ribosomal RNA and internal transcribed spacer 2
Rfam family: 5.8S ribosomal RNA (bases 1-132)
Source: RNAcentral
UGGCUCUGGCAACGAUGAAGAACGCAGCGAAAUGCGAUAAGUAAUGCGAAUUGCAGAAUCAGUGAAUCAUCGAGUUUUUGAACGCACAUUGCGCCUCCUGGUAUUCCGGGAGGCACGCCUGUUCGAGCGCCAUUUCAACCUCCAAGCACGGCUUGAUGUUGGACGACGUCCGGUUCGGACGCGUCUGAAACGUGUCGGCGCCCGGCGGCGACCACGAGCGUAGCAAAAUGCCGUCCGCUCUGUGGUUCGUCUCCGCGCAGCCCAGCAUCUUUUUAUUUCUAAAAGGUUGGCCUCGGAUCAGGUGGGGAUACCCGCUGA